Molecule: ribosomal RNA, 253 nt
Filed under: uncultured bacterium
Lineage: Bacteria
Description: partial 16S ribosomal RNA
Rfam family: Bacterial small subunit ribosomal RNA
Source: RNAcentral
UACGAAGGGUGCAAACGUUGCUCGGAAUCAUUGGGCGUAAAGCGCACGUAGGCGGCCCUGCAAGUCGGAUGUGAAAUCCCACGGCUCAACCGUGGACGUGCAUUCGAAACUGCUUGGCUCGAGUAUGGAAGAGGGUCGCGGAAUUCCCGGUGUAGAGGUGAAAUUCGUAGAUAUCGGGAGGAACACCAGUGGCGAAGGCGGCGACCUGGGCCGAUACUGACGCUGAGGAGCGAAAGCGUGGGGAGCGAACAGG